Long non-coding RNA from Micropterus dolomieu (smallmouth bass), 542 nucleotides. RefSeq lists it as uncharacterized. NCBI's taxonomy places the organism in Eukaryota, Metazoa, Chordata, Actinopteri, Centrarchiformes, Centrarchidae. The record is from RefSeq and is a predicted model, not a curated record. The transcript is spliced from 2 exons.
CAAGAGUAGCAACAGUAAUGUUUACAACAGCAAAGUCUAUUUAUAUUACAUAUGCUUUCUACAUGUUCACAUGCUUGUUCAACAGGUGUACUAAUCAGGUGGCUGAGGCAAGAUCCAUUUGAACAGGAAGAAGUCUAAUGUUGGCUAGCACAAAAAAAUCGGUGUUUCUGCACCUUAGAGGGAUGAGGCAGAUGAUGCUCUGUAGCUGUGUCAGUGCAAGAUAGAAAGGGCAGGACGAAAGGGGUUGUCUAAGAUGGAGUUCAGUUUAGUCCUCCUCCUCUCCUGCGCUAAGGCCUCCAGGGUGUUCAGACUCAGCCCUGCAACAAAGACAGCCUUUAUCACCAGUUUGUUUGUCCUGUCUGCAUCCCCAGCAUUGAUGUUUUCGCCCCAGCACACCACUGCACACAACAGUGUGUUAGCCACCACAGAUGAGUAGUCUGAAAAAUCUGGAGAAGACACACACAGUGUGCACAGUGCCUCCAUGUUAUCUGCACAGUCCAGAAAUGUACUGAAAUAAAUGGAAAAAGGUUCCAAGACGUCCA